CCCUUAGAUGUUCUGGGCUGCACGCGCGUUACACUGAUGCGAUCAACAAGUUUUUCCUAUGUCGAUAGACACGGGUAAUCUUUUGAACUCGCAUCGUGAUGGGGAUAGAUUAUUGUAAUUAUUAAUCUUCAACGAGGAAUUCCUAGUAGGUGCAAAUCAUCAGUUUGCAUCGAUUACGUCCCUGCCCUUUGUACACACCGCCCGUCGCUGCUACCGAUUGGUUGAUCUGGUGAAUUAUUCGGACUGCCGGCUGAAGGGGUUUCCUCAUCUGCCAGCGGAAAGUCUUGUUAACCCUAUCAACUAGAGGAAGCAGAAGUCGUAACA
RNAcentral lists this ribosomal RNA (324 nucleotides) under uncultured eukaryote. RNAcentral describes it as "partial 18S ribosomal RNA". It matches the Rfam family "Eukaryotic small subunit ribosomal RNA", at positions 1470 to 1796 of the family's 1831-position model. The record is from RNAcentral.